Long non-coding RNA from Hydra vulgaris (swiftwater hydra), 717 nucleotides. RefSeq lists it as uncharacterized. The record is from RefSeq and is a predicted model, not a curated record. NCBI's taxonomy places the organism in Eukaryota, Metazoa, Cnidaria, Hydrozoa, Anthoathecata, Hydridae.
UAUAUAUAUAUCCUAGCUAUCCGGACCCAUAAAGUACGGCCUUUACCGUACCGACCAUUUCUAUACUUAUCUAUUCCACACCGAUCAUUUCUAUACUUAUUCAUUUAUUGAUUUAACUUAUUUCAAAAGAGAUUUGUAUAAUAGGUUGUUACGACGUAUUUCGUCAAUAACUCAAAUAAACAGUAGUUUAGUGCGUUAUCAUCAUCUUUUUGUUGUUUUGGAGGGUUAAAUCCUCCCUUUAACAUAACAAAUUUUUAAAUUUUUUAUGUCUUGCAGUGUAUAUUUAUCGCAAAAAAAUAAUAUAUAUAUCGCAAAAAAGACUUGCAAUUGCUAAAACAAAAUUUAAAAGUUUUCUUAUAUUAUAAUAUAUUAUAUGCGAUCGUUCAUAUACCGCCCGAUAACUCAACUUAUGCUAAAGACUCGGGGAUUUGUACGUAGCGCUAUACAAAGGACGGAACUUACACUUACAGGCAGUAGUACAUAACGCUGUGCGAAGGGUGGAACUAAGAAGAUGAGAAUUGAAGCAAAUGAAAGAAUUCAGUCAGAACUACCAAGUUGAACUUUGUAAAAAAAAGAACAAAAAUCAAAAAUGAUCGCAAAAAAAUGUUUAACUUAUCGAAAAAAAGAGAAAAAGAAAUGAAUAUUACAAAUUGAUAACCAUAAAAUCUUACUCAUCAAUAAAGAUAAAAAAUGUCAGAUGAAGAUAAAAAAUGUCAG